Molecule: ribosomal RNA, 495 nt
Filed under: uncultured bacterium
Lineage: Bacteria
Description: partial 16S ribosomal RNA
Rfam family: Bacterial small subunit ribosomal RNA
Source: RNAcentral
GACGAACGCUGGCGGCGUGCCUAAUACAUGCAAGUAGAACGCUGAAGGAGGAGCUUGCUCUUCUGGAUGAGUUGCGAACGGGUGAGUAACGCGUAGGUAACCUGCCUGGUAGCGGGGGAUAACUAUUGGAAACGAUAGCUAAUACCGCAUAACAGUAGAUGUUGCAUGACAUUUACUUAAAAGGUGCAAUUGCAUCACUACCAGAUGGACCUGCGUUGUAUUAGCUAGUUGGUGGGGUAACGGCUCACCAAGGCGACGAUACAUAGCCGACCUGAGAGGGUGAUCGGCCACACUGGGACUGAGACACGGCCCAGACUCCUACGGGAGGCAGCAGGAGGGAAUCUUCGGCAAUGGACGGAAGUCUGACCGAGCAACGCCGCGUGAGUGAAGAAGGUUUUCGGAUCGUAAAGCUCUGUUGUAAGAGAAGAACGGGUGUGAGAGUGGAAAGUUCACACUGUGACGGUAUCUUACCAGAAAGGGACGGCUAACUACGUG